UGGGGAAUAUUGGGCAAUGGAGGAAACUCUGACCCAGCAACGCCGCGUGGAGGAAGAAGGUUUUCGGAUCGUAAACUCCUGUCCUUGGAGACGAGUAGAAGACGGUAUCCAAGGAGGAAGCCCCGGCUAACUACGUGCCAGCAGCCGCGGUAAUACGUAGGGGGCAAGCGUUGUCCGGAAUAAUUGGGCGUAAAGGGCGCGUAGGCGGCUCGGUAAGUCUGGAGUGAAAGUCCUGCUUUUAAGGUGGGAAUUGCUUUGGAUACUGUCGGGCUUGAGUGCAGGAGAGGUUAGUGGAAUUCCCAGUGUAGCGGUGAAAUGCGUAGAGAUUGGGAGGAACACCAGUGGCGAAGGCGACUAACUGGACUGUAACUGACGCUGAGGCGCGAAAGUGUGGGGAGCAAACAGGAUUAGAUACCCUGGUAGUCCACACUGUAAACGAUGAAUGCUAGGUGUAGGGGGUAUCGACCCCUUCUGUGCCGCAGUCAACACAAUAAGCAUUCCGCCUGGGGAGUACGGCCGCAAGGUUGAAACUCAAAGGAAUUGACGGGGGCCCGCACAAGCAGCGGAGCAUGUGGUUUAAUUCGACGCAACGCGAAGAACCUUACCAGGUCUUGACAUCCACUUAAACUUACAGAGAUGUAAGGUGUGCUUGCACAAAGUGAGACAGGUGGUGCAUGGUUGUCGUCAGCUCGUGUCGUGAGAUGUUGGGUUAAGUCCCGCAACGAGCGCAACCCUUAUCUUCAGUUACUAACGCGUAAAGGUGAGGACUCUGAAGAGACUGCCGGGGACAACUCGGAGGAAGGUGGGGACGACGUCAAAUCAUCAUGCCCCUUAUGACCUGGGCUACACACGUGCUACAAUGGCCACAACAGAGAGAAGCGAAAUCGUAAGGUAGAGCGGAACUCAAAAAAGUGGUCCCAGUUCGGAUUGUGGGCUGCAACCCGCCCACAUGAAGUCGGAGUUGCUAGUAAUCGCGGAUCAGCAUGCCGCGGUGAAUACGUUCCC
RNAcentral lists this ribosomal RNA (1005 nucleotides) under uncultured bacterium. Its description in RNAcentral is "bacterial SSU rRNA". It matches the Rfam family "Bacterial small subunit ribosomal RNA", at positions 355 to 1375 of the family's 1533-position model. The record is from RNAcentral.